Molecule: long non-coding RNA, 837 nt
Filed under: Ananas comosus (pineapple)
Lineage: Eukaryota; Viridiplantae; Streptophyta; Magnoliopsida; Poales; Bromeliaceae
Description: long non-coding RNA (ACOM_LNC009201)
Source: RNAcentral
AUAAUUUUUAACCUUAAAAUAAAAAUUUAUAAAUAUAAAUUCUAAAUUUUAAAUUUGAAAUUUGAAAUUAUAAAUUUUAAAUUGAUAUAUUUAAUUUUUUAAAUUUAAAAUUUAAAAUUUUAUAUUUCUAAAUUUAGAUUUGCUAUUAAAUUUAAAAUUUGAAAUUGAAAAUUUAGAACUUUGAAUUUUUUAAUUUGAGGUUUUUAAAUUCAAAUUUUAAUUUUAAAUUUUUAAAAUUUAAGAGUUAUAUAAAUUUAAAAUUUUAAAUAUAAAAUUUUAAAAAAUUAAUUCAAAUAUAAUAAAGAGGGCAAUAUCAUUAUUUUCUAUUUAUAACCAUCUACUAUCCUUUUUAUUUCACUUACUCCAACCAAAUACUAUUUUGCUUAUACCUGGACUAAACCCAAUACUAAACCAAACACAAAAUUACUCUAUACCCACCUUAUACCUUAUCUUAUGCCUAUUCCUGGAGCAACUAGUUCUUACUUAUAUCCGAACCAAAUGAAACCUAAAAGCUGAAGUUAUUAGAGAACGGUAUAUUUUUAUAUUUAACACUCUCCCUCACGUUUGGGCUCAAGACUUUUUUGCGAGGCCCAUGACGUGGACUUGAAUUAAAUGGGAGAAAAUUAAUAAUGCUAGGAGCGUGGCAUGAUUCAAACUCAGGACCUUCUGUUCUGAUACCAUGUGAAACAACCGUUGUACCCUAAAAUUUUAAGCUAUUAGAGAACGGUGUAUUUUUAUAUUUAACAACACAUAGUAUAGAGUGGUUCUUAAACCAACCAAGAAAACCAUCCAAUAUCUUAAUAAGUUGGGUCAGAUUUGCCCAUCAUGGGUGACCUA